This 1439-nucleotide ribosomal RNA is filed under the name uncultured organism. RNAcentral describes it as "SSU rRNA". It matches the Rfam family "Bacterial small subunit ribosomal RNA". The record is from RNAcentral.
GCUUAACACAUGCAAGUCGAGGGGCAUCAGGAAGAAAGCUUGCUUUCUUUGCUGGCGACCGGCGCACGGGUGAGUAACACGUAUCCAACCUGCCCUUUACUCGGGGAUAGCCUUUCGAAAGAAAGAUUAAUACCCGAUAGCAUAAUGAUUCCGCAUGGUUUCAUUAUUAAAGGAUUCCGGUAAAGGAUGGGGAUGCGUUCCAUUAGGUUGUUGGUGAGGUAACGGCCCACCAAGCCUUCGAUGGAUAGGGGUUCUGAGAGGAAGGUCCCCCACAUUGGAACUGAGACACGGUCCAAACUCCUACGGGAGGCAGCAGUGAGGAAUAUUGGUCAAUGGGCGCUAGCCUGAACCAGCCAAGUAGCGUGAAGGAUGAAGGCUCUAUGGGUCGUAAACUUCUUUUAUAUAAGAAUAAAGUGCAGUAUGUAUACUGUUUUGUAUGUAUUAUAUGAAUAAGGAUCGGCUAACUCCGUGCCAGCAGCCGCGGUAAUACGGAGGAUCCGAGCGUUAUCCGGAUUUAUUGGGUUUAAAGGGAGCGUAGGUGGACUGGUAAGUCAGUUGUGAAAGUUUGCGGCUCAACCGUAAAAUUGCAGUUGAUACUGUCAGUCUUGAGUACAGUAGAGGUGGGCGGAAUUCGUGGUGUAGCGGUGAAAUGCUUAGAUAUCACGAAGAACUCCGAUUGCGAAGGCAGCUCACUGGACUGCAACUGACACUGAUGCUCGAAAGUGUGGGUAUCAAACAGGAUUAGAUACCCUGGUAGUCCACACAGUAAACGAUGAAUACUCGCUGUUUGCGAUAUACAGUAAGCGGCCAAGCGAAAGCAUUAAGUAUUCCACCUGGGGAGUACGCCGGCAACGGUGAAACUCAAAGGAAUUGACGGGGGCCCGCACAAGCGGGGGAACAUGUGGUUUAAUUCGAUGAUACGCGAGGAACCUUACCCGGGCUUAAAUUGCAGUGGAAUGAUGUGGAAACAUGUCAGUGAGCAAUCACCGCUGUGAAGGUGCUGCAUGGUUGUCGUCAGCUCGUGCCGUGAGGUGUCGGCUUAAGUGCCAUAACGAGCGCAACCCUUAUCUUUAGUUACUAACAGGUUAUGCUGAGGACUCUAGAGAGACUGCCGUCGUAAGAUGUGAGGAAGGUGGGGAUGACGUCAAAUCAGCACGGCCCUUACGUCCGGGGCUACACACGUGUUACAAUGGGGGGUACAGAAGGCAGCUAGCGGGUGACCGUAUGCUAAUCCCAAAAUCCUCUCUCAGUUCGGAUCGAAGUCUGCAACCCGACUUCGUGAAGCUGGAUUCGCUAGUAAUCGCGCAUCAGCCACGGCGCGGUGAAUACGUUCCCGGGCCUUGUACACACCGCCCGUCAAGCCAUGGGAGCCGGGGGUACCUGAAGUACGUAACCGCAAGGAUCGUCCUAGGGUAAAACUGGUGACUGGGGCUAAGUCA